Molecule: long non-coding RNA, 463 nt
Organism: Scylla paramamosain (green mud crab)
Lineage: Eukaryota; Metazoa; Arthropoda; Malacostraca; Decapoda; Portunidae
Exons: 3
Source: RefSeq, a predicted model, not a curated record
CCGAGGCAGCCACGCACUCAGGGUCUGUCACUGCAUUAUUCUUUUGUUCCUGGCCUCACUAUAGAAACCACAAUCUGUACGUGUUUCUAUAAAGAACCUGCAACUUCCUGGCUGUCCUGUCCCGACAUCUACCUCACCUACCAUGGCGCACUGUGACACGAGGAGCAGCUCUCUCAGCGACGGGGAAAAGUGGACGGCGGAUGAAUACUUCGGUUCCCACGCCUUCUUCCGCAUCAUGUCCGACCCGCCGAUCAUGGUGGUGGCCGGCGUUCGUCAGAGGAGUUGAAAAUGCAUGGGACACGCUGCUGUGUUCUGCGUGUAGCUGAGGUGAGGGAAGACGCAGUAUGUUGAGGGAAGGCAGCUGCAAGACUGAACUGCUGCACCAGUGACAGCAGCAGCAGAGCCCCACCACUGAUGCUGCUCCUUUCCUUCUCCCAGCACAACAGCACACAGGACACAUUUC